CAGCCGCCGCGGUAAUACGAAGGGGGCUAGCGUUGUUCGGAUUUACUGGGCGUAAAGGGCGCGUAGGCGGGCGAAUAAGUCAGGGGUGAAAUCCCAAGGCUCAACCUUGGAACUGCCUUUGAUACUGUUUGUCUUGAGUUCGAGAGAGGUAAGUGGAACUGCGAGUGUAGAGGUGAAAUUCGUAGAUAUUCGCGAGAACACCAGUGGCGAAGGCGGCUUACUGGCUCGAAACUGACGCUGAGGCGCGAAAGCGUGGGGAGCAAACAGGAUUAGAUACCCCGGUAGUCCCUGUCUCUUAUAC
This 301-nucleotide ribosomal RNA is filed under the name uncultured bacterium. RNAcentral's name for it is "partial 16S ribosomal RNA". It matches the Rfam family "Bacterial small subunit ribosomal RNA", at positions 509 to 807 of the family's 1533-position model. The record is from RNAcentral.